This 75-nucleotide transfer RNA is filed under the name Virgisporangium ochraceum. RNAcentral describes it as "tRNA-Met". It matches the Rfam family "tRNA". Rfam says of the family: Transfer RNA (tRNA) molecules are approximately 80 nucleotides in length. Their secondary structure includes four short double-helical elements and three loops (D, anti-codon, and T loops). The record is from RNAcentral. Lineage: Bacteria; Bacillati; Actinomycetota; Actinomycetes; Micromonosporales; Micromonosporaceae.
AGCGGGAUGCUUGUAACGGUAACUGGCCGGUCUCAUAAGCCGCGCGGCUGUGGGUUCGACUCCCUCUCCCGCCAC